Molecule: non-coding RNA, 72 nt
Organism: Podarcis lilfordi (Lilford's wall lizard)
Lineage: Eukaryota; Metazoa; Chordata; Lepidosauria; Squamata; Lacertidae
Source: the annotation of a GenBank genome assembly
AGAGCUAUAGUUCAGUGGCAGAGCAUCAGCUUUUCAAGCAGAAGGUCCCAGGUUCAUUCCCUGGCACCUCCA